Molecule: ribosomal RNA, 443 nt
Filed under: [Eubacterium] saphenum
Lineage: Bacteria; Bacillati; Bacillota; Clostridia; Peptostreptococcales; Anaerovoracaceae
Description: bacterial SSU rRNA
Rfam family: Bacterial small subunit ribosomal RNA
Source: RNAcentral
GAUGAACGCUGGCGGCGUGCUUAACACAUGCAAGUCGAGCGAGAAACUACAUGCAGACACUUCGGUAGAAGCGAGUAGCGGAAAGCGGCGGACGGGUGAGUAACGCGUAGGCAACCUGCCCUUCACAGAGGUAUAGCCUCGGGAAACCGGGAUUAAAACCGCAUAAAAUCAUAGGUUCGCAUGAACCAAAGGUCAAAGAUUUAUCGGUGAAGGAUGGGCCUGCGUCUGAUUAGCUGGUUGGUAGGGUAAAAGCCUACCAAGGCGACGAUCAGUAGCCGACCUGAGAGGGUGAUCGGCCACAUUGGAACUGAGACACGGUCCAAACUCCUACGGGAGGCAGCAGUGGGGGGAUAUUGCACAAUGGGGGAAAACCCCUGAUGCAGCAAACGCCGCGUGAGGUAUGAAAGGCCCUUUGGGUUGUAAAGCCUUCUGUUCCUAAGGGG